RNAcentral lists this ribosomal RNA (235 nucleotides) under uncultured bacterium. RNAcentral's name for it is "partial 16S ribosomal RNA". It matches the Rfam family "Bacterial small subunit ribosomal RNA", at positions 99 to 334 of the family's 1533-position model. The record is from RNAcentral.
CGGACGGGUGAGUAGCGCGUGGGUAACCUGCCUUGUACUGGGGGACAACAGUUAGAAAUGACUGCUAAUACCGCAUAAGCGCACAGUAUCGCAUGAUACAGUGUGAAAAACUCCGGUGGUACAAGAUGGACCCGCGUCUGAUUAGCUAGUUGGUAAGGUAACGGCUUACCAAGGCGACGAUCAGUAGCCGACCUGAGAGGGUGACCGGCCACAUUGGGACUGAGACACGGCCCAA